CCGCUGAACUUAAGCAUAUCAAUAAGGCGGAGGAA
RNAcentral lists this ribosomal RNA (35 nucleotides) under Colletotrichum gloeosporioides. RNAcentral describes it as "partial 28S ribosomal RNA". Lineage: Eukaryota; Fungi; Ascomycota; Sordariomycetes; Glomerellales; Glomerellaceae. The record is from RNAcentral.